This 481-nucleotide ribosomal RNA is filed under the name Fusarium oxysporum. RNAcentral's name for it is "eukaryotic LSU rRNA". The stretch from base 125 to 278 matches the Rfam family "5.8S ribosomal RNA". The record is from RNAcentral. Lineage: Eukaryota; Fungi; Ascomycota; Sordariomycetes; Hypocreales; Nectriaceae.
GAACUUACUAAUUGGAGGAGUACCGCUGAUCAUCCCGCUCCCGGUAAAACGGGACGGCCCGCCAGAGGACCCCUAAAACUCUGUUUCUAUAUGUAACUUCUGAGUAAAACCAUAAAUAAAUCAAAACUUUCAACAACGGAUCUCUUGGUUCUGGCAUCGAUGAAGAACGCAGCAAAAUGCGAUAAGUAAUGUGAAUUGCAGAAUUCAGUGAAUCAUCGAAUCUUUGAACGCACAUUGCGCCCGCCAGUAUUCUGGCGGGCAUGCCUGUUCGAGCGUCAUUUCAACCCUCAAGCACAGCUUGGUGUUGGGACUCGCGUUAAUUCGCGUUCCUCAAAUUGAUUGGCGGUCACGUCGAGCUUCCAUAGCGUAGUAGUAAAACCCUCGUUACUGGUAAUCGUCGCGGCCACGCCGUUAAACCCCAACUUCUGAAUGUUGACCUCGGAUCAGGUAGGAAUACCCGCUGAACUUAAGCAUAUCAAUA